RNAcentral lists this ribosomal RNA (575 nucleotides) under Papiliotrema sp. Its description in RNAcentral is "eukaryotic LSU rRNA". It matches the Rfam family "Eukaryotic large subunit ribosomal RNA", at positions 92 to 656 of the family's 3401-position model. The record is from RNAcentral. Lineage: Eukaryota; Fungi; Basidiomycota; Tremellomycetes; Tremellales; Rhynchogastremaceae.
AGUGAACCGGGAAGAGCUCAAAUUUGAAAUCUGGCGUCCUCAGGGCGUCCGAGUUGUAAUCUAUAGAGGCGUUUUCCGUGCCGGACCGUGUCCAAGUUCCUUGGAACAGGAUAUCAAAGAGGGUGACAAUCCCGUACUUGACACGACGACCGGUGCUCUGUGAUACGUCUUCUACGAGUCGAGUUGUUUGGGAAUGCAGCUCAAAAUGGGUGGUGAGUUCCAUCUAAAGCUAAAUAUUGGCGAGAGACCGAUAGCGAACAAGUACCGUGAGGGAAAGAUGAAAAGCACUUUGGAAAGAGAGUUAAACAGUACGUGAAAUUGUUGAAAGGGAAACGAUUGAAGUCAGUCGUGUCCGAUAGGCUCAGCCGGUUCUGCCGGUGUAUUCCCCUCGGACGGGUCAACAUCAGUUUUGUCCGGUGGAUAAGGGCGGUAGGAAGGUGGCACCCUCGGGUGUGUUAUAGCCUGCCGUCGCAUACAUCGGGUGAGACUGAGGAACGCAGCUCGCCUUUAUGGCCGGGGUUCGCCCACGUCCGAGCUUAGGAUGUUGACAUAAUGGCUUUAAACGACCCGUCUUG